This 67-nucleotide transfer RNA is filed under the name Gonopsis affinis. Its description in RNAcentral is "tRNA-Asp". Lineage: Eukaryota; Metazoa; Arthropoda; Insecta; Hemiptera; Pentatomidae. The record is from RNAcentral.
AAAGAUUUAGUUUAAAACAAAACAUUAAUUUGUCAAAUUAAAAAAGUUCAUUAAUGAACAAUCUUUA